This 245-nucleotide ribosomal RNA is filed under the name uncultured Planctomycetaceae bacterium. RNAcentral describes it as "partial 16S ribosomal RNA". It matches the Rfam family "Bacterial small subunit ribosomal RNA", at positions 524 to 768 of the family's 1533-position model. The record is from RNAcentral. Lineage: Bacteria; Pseudomonadati; Planctomycetota; Planctomycetia; Planctomycetales; Planctomycetaceae.
GACGAACUGUCCAAACGUUAUUCGGAAUCACUGGGCUUAAAGGGUGCGUAGGCGGACUUGCAAGUGGGAUCUGAAAUCCCUCGGCUCAACCGAGGAACUGGGUCCCAAACUGCGAGACUAGAGUGAGGCAGGGGUAAGUGGAACUUGCGGUGGAGCGGUGAAAUGCUUUGAUAUCGCAAGGAACACCGGUGGCGAAGGCGACUUACUGGGCCUUAACUGACGCUCAAGCACGAAAGCUAGGGUAG